This is a non-coding RNA of Acanthosepion pharaonis, 96 nucleotides long. Lineage: Eukaryota; Metazoa; Mollusca; Cephalopoda; Sepiida; Sepiidae. The record is from the annotation of a GenBank genome assembly.
CAAAGCACCAGUUCCUGUAUGAUCACCAAAAGUUAAGCAACAUUGAGCCUGGGUAGUACCUAGAUGGGUGACCAUUUGGAUGUGUGGGUGGUGUAA